Molecule: non-coding RNA, 464 nt
Organism: Ictidomys tridecemlineatus (thirteen-lined ground squirrel)
Lineage: Eukaryota; Metazoa; Chordata; Mammalia; Rodentia; Sciuridae
Source: RefSeq, a predicted model, not a curated record
CAGAGAUGCAGAGGGACGGCCCAGUGGACAGCCCUGGUAGUGCCUCCAUUCGUACCACAGAGAGAGCCGCAGACUGGUGCCUGGACACUCGUGCAGAUUAAGGUCUAGGGUCUGGAGCUGGGCAGCAGGGUUUGCAGUGGUCAGUGCAGGUGGAAGAAAAGGAGGUGGGGACUUUGGAGUGAUCAAGACGGCUGUUAGGACACUGGAUGAUGUCAACCGAGGCUGCAGAGAUCACUGGGUGCUGGGGGUCAGUGCACCCUGAAUCUCUGUCACCAACUUGUUCUGUCCCUCUGAAGAGGAAGAAGUGAUAUCGUGCCUGGUCAGGCCCGUGUGUUCUGUCACAUGACCCUGCUCGUGGCAAAGCACAUGACUGUCGAUGCCAGUAUUUCAAUGUGAAGCAACAGGGUUUUCCUGGAGCGAAGGCAGGUGCCUCUUUAUCCACUGAGAGCCCAGGAGGAGGCAGG